GUGUCAGCAGCCGCGGUAAUACGGAGGAUCCGAGCGUUAUCCGGAUUUAUUGGGUUUAAAGGGUGCGUAGGCGGCCUAUUAAGUCAGGGGUGAAAGACGGUAGCUUAACUAUCGCAGUGCCUUUGAUACUGAUAGGCUUGAAUGUACUUGAGGUAGGCGGAAUGUGACAAGUAGCGGUGAAAUGCAUAGAUAUGUCACAGAACACCAAUUGCGAAGGCAGCUUACUAAAGUAUGAUUGACGCUGAGGCACGAAAGCGUGGGGAUCAAACAGGAUUAGAUACCCUGGUAGUCC
This 292-nucleotide ribosomal RNA is filed under the name uncultured bacterium. RNAcentral describes it as "partial 16S ribosomal RNA". It matches the Rfam family "Bacterial small subunit ribosomal RNA", at positions 505 to 796 of the family's 1533-position model. The record is from RNAcentral.